RNAcentral lists this ribosomal RNA (466 nucleotides) under uncultured bacterium. RNAcentral's name for it is "partial 16S ribosomal RNA". It matches the Rfam family "Bacterial small subunit ribosomal RNA", at positions 29 to 507 of the family's 1533-position model. The record is from RNAcentral.
ACGAACGCUGGCGGCGUGCUUAACACAUGCAAGUCGAACGGAAAGGCCCUGCUUUUGUGGGGUGCUCGAGUGGCGAACGGGUGAGUAACACGUGAGUAACCUGCCCUUGACUUUGGGAUAACUUCAGGAAACUGGGGCUAAUACCGGAUAGGAGCUCCUGCUGCAUGGUGGGGGUUGGAAAGUUUCGGCGGUUGGGGAUGGACUCGCGGCUUAUCAGCUUGUUGGUGGGGUAGUGGCUUACCAAGGCUUGACGGGUAGCCGGCCUGAGAGGGUGACCGGCCACAUUGGGACUGAGAUACGGCCCAGACUCCUACGGGAGGCAGCAGUGGGGAAUAUUGCACAAUGGGCGGAAGCCUGAUGCAGCAACGCCGCGUGCGGGAUGACGGCCUUCGGGUUGUAAACCGCUUUCGCCUGUGACGAAGCGUGAGUGACGGUAAUGGGUAAAGAAGCACCGGCUAACUACGUG